AGGUCUCUUCAUAGUUGGAAGUUAUGAAAUUGGAGAUCCGGGAGCAAUAUAAUACCAGUUCUAAUUCUACAUAAUCUACUACUCCUAGGAGAAAGAGGCUGGCCUGGUUGAAUUUGACAAGGUUGACUGUUCUGUGACCAAGGAGGACAUAAUAAAUCACGGCAUUUGAAGAACAUCCUGAGUUCAAAGGUAUGUAUGAUUAGGU
RNAcentral lists this long non-coding RNA (205 nucleotides) under Ictidomys tridecemlineatus (thirteen-lined ground squirrel). RNAcentral describes it as "lncRNA (ENSSTOG00000029502.1)". The record is from RNAcentral. Lineage: Eukaryota; Metazoa; Chordata; Mammalia; Rodentia; Sciuridae.